This 497-nucleotide ribosomal RNA is filed under the name uncultured bacterium. RNAcentral's name for it is "bacterial SSU rRNA". It matches the Rfam family "Bacterial small subunit ribosomal RNA", at positions 8 to 502 of the family's 1533-position model. The record is from RNAcentral.
AGAGUUUGAUCCUGGCUCAGGAUUAACGCUAGCGGCAGGCCUAACACAUGCAAGUCGAGGGGCAGCAUUAGUACUUGUACUAGAUGGCGACCGGCGCACGGGUGCGUAACGCGUAUGCAACCUACCUAUUACUGGGGGAUAGCCCGGGGAAACCCGGAUUAAUACCGCAUGACACUGCGACAUCAUCGGAUGAUGCAGUUAAAUUUUCAGAGGUAAUAGAUGGGCAUGCGUAUGAUUAGUUAGUUGGUGAGGUAACGGCUCACCAAGACUGUGAUCAUUAGCGGGUCUGAGAGGAUGAUCCGCCACACUGGUACUGAGACACGGACCAGACUCCUACGGGAGGCAGCAGUGAGGAAUAUUGGUCAAUGGGGGCAACCCUGAACCAGCCAUGCCGCGUGCAGGAAGACGGCCUUCUGGGUUGUAAACUGCUUUUAUACAGGAGCAAAUAGUCCCUGCGGGGAAAGUUGAGAGUAUUGUAUGAAUAAGCACCGCUAACU